This 754-nucleotide ribosomal RNA is filed under the name Psychrobacillus psychrodurans. Its description in RNAcentral is "bacterial SSU rRNA". It matches the Rfam family "Bacterial small subunit ribosomal RNA", at positions 1 to 743 of the family's 1533-position model. Lineage: Bacteria; Bacillati; Bacillota; Bacilli; Caryophanales; Bacillaceae. The record is from RNAcentral.
AGAGGUUUGAUCCUGGCUCAGGACGAACGCUGGCGGCAUGCCUAAUACAUGCAAGUCGAGCGAAUGACGAAGAAGCUUGCUUCUUCUGAUUUAGCGGCGGACGGGUGAGUAACACGUGGGCAACCUGCCCUGUAGAUUGGGAUAACUCCGGGAAACCGGGGCUAAUACCGAAUAAUCCAUUUCCUCACAUGGGGAGAUGUUAAAAGACGGUUUCGGCUGUCACUACAGGAUGGGCCCGCGGCGCAUUAGCUAGUUGGUGAGGUAACGGCUCACCAAGGCGACGAUGCGUAGCCGACCUGAGAGGGUGAUCGGCCACACUGGGACUGAGACACGGCCCAGACUCCUACGGGAGGCAGCAGUAGGGAAUCUUCCACAAUGGACGAAAGUCUGAUGGAGCAAUGCCGCGUGAGUGAAGAAGGUUUUCGGAUCGUAAAACUCUGUUGUGAGGGAAGAACAAGUACGAGAGUAACUGCUCGUACCUUGACGGUACCUCAUUAGAAAGCCACGGCUAACUACGUGCCAGCAGCCGCGGUAAUACGUAGGUGGCAAGCGUUGUCCGGAAUUAUUGGGCGUAAAGCGCGCGCAGGCGGUCCUUUAAGUCUGAUGUGAAAUCCCACGGCUCAACCGUGGAAGGUCAUUGGAAACUGGGGGACUUGAGUACAGAAGAGGAAAGCGGAAUUCCAAGUGUAGCGGUGAAAUGCGUAGAGAUUUGGAGGAACACCAGUGGCGAAGCGGCUUUCUGGUCUGUAACUGA